GGGGGACCUUCGGGCCUCUUGCCAUCGGAUGUGCCCAGAUGGGAUUAGCUAGUAGGUGGGGUAACGGCUCACCUAGGCGACGAUCCCUAGCUGGUCUGAGAGGAUGACCAGCCACACUGGAACUGAGACACGGUCCAGACUCCUACGGGAGGCAGCAGUGGGGAAUAUUGCACAAUGGGCGCAAGCCUGAUGCAGCCAUGCCGCGUGUAUGAAGAAGGCCUUCGGGUUGUAAAGUACUUUCAGCGGGGAGGAAGGGAGUAAAGUUAAUACCUUUGCUCAUUGACGUUACCCGCAGAAGAAGCACCGGCUAACUCCGUGCCAGCAGCCGCGGUAAUACGGAGGGGCAAGCGUUAAUCGGAAUUUCCGGCGCAAGCGCACGCAGCGUCCACG
RNAcentral lists this ribosomal RNA (390 nucleotides) under Escherichia coli. RNAcentral's name for it is "bacterial SSU rRNA". It matches the Rfam family "Bacterial small subunit ribosomal RNA", at positions 194 to 582 of the family's 1533-position model. The record is from RNAcentral. Lineage: Bacteria; Pseudomonadati; Pseudomonadota; Gammaproteobacteria; Enterobacterales; Enterobacteriaceae.